CUGGCCCCAUACCACCUGAACGCCCUAUCUCAUCUGAUCCCAGAAGUAAGCAGGGUCAGGGCUGGUCAGUACUUGGAUGAAAGAGAGCACAUAGCACAAGGGCUGGU
Molecule: ribosomal RNA, 107 nt
Organism: Rhinopithecus bieti (black snub-nosed monkey)
Lineage: Eukaryota; Metazoa; Chordata; Mammalia; Primates; Cercopithecidae
Source: Ensembl